Homo sapiens (human) is the source of this 81-nucleotide microRNA precursor. Ensembl annotates it as microRNA 4433a. NCBI's taxonomy places the organism in Eukaryota, Metazoa, Chordata, Mammalia, Primates, Hominidae. The record is from Ensembl.
CAUCCUCCUUACGUCCCACCCCCCACUCCUGUUUCUGGUGAAAUAUUCAAACAGGAGUGGGGGUGGGACAUAAGGAGGAUA